RNAcentral lists this long non-coding RNA (638 nucleotides) under Astyanax mexicanus (Mexican tetra). RNAcentral describes it as "lncRNA (ENSAMXG00005012463.1)". Lineage: Eukaryota; Metazoa; Chordata; Actinopteri; Characiformes; Acestrorhamphidae. The record is from RNAcentral.
GAGCAUUGCCACUUUUAGCUUAACGUCUGCAGAUAAUUGGAUGUGAGCAGAGCUGUGGAAGACCUAAUCUAACAAGGUUGGAAAAUGUCUGGCAGCCAACAUGGACAGAAUAUCCUUAACCAUGGAUGCCCGACUAGUGUUCCAGCAAGGUGUUGGUCUUUCGAUACCCCUUAAGGUGGUGCCAGUUCCUGUUUCUUGUUUGUGGAUCAGCCAAGUGGACUACUUUUAAUUGGUCAUGGCUAAAAGAUGGAGGAUGCCGUCUUGGCCUGUGACUGGACUCUGCAAGAAUGUCUGAACAGGGCUGUCCUUUUUUUUUUUUUAAUUCUAGGUAUUCAUCAUUUUAUUAUACUUUACACCUUUUCUGCUGUUUUGCAUCUUAUGAUGAUUAUCCUUGAAUCUCGUUCGUCUGAACUCCUGUUGAAAUAUACCACGAUCUGAUUAUGCACAGGUAUAAUUAUUUUUUUUAUAAGUUGUGGGGCUUUAAAACUAAACUUGUUCAACUCUUUAGGUGGGCUUUCUAAGAUGAAGUUGCUGUGAUCUGAUGUCCUGGAACUGCUUCGUUCUUAGAUUGUAGCUAAAUGUAAAGGGGGACCUGGAGGAGCCCAGUUCAGGACUGCCUGAACCGCAUCCUCUAGAAU